Molecule: ribosomal RNA, 264 nt
Filed under: Escherichia coli
Lineage: Bacteria; Pseudomonadati; Pseudomonadota; Gammaproteobacteria; Enterobacterales; Enterobacteriaceae
Description: partial 16S ribosomal RNA
Rfam family: Bacterial small subunit ribosomal RNA
Source: RNAcentral
AAAUUGAAGAGUUUGAUCAUGGCUCAGAUUGAACGCUGGCGGCAGGCCUAACACAUGCAAGUCGAACGGUAACAGGAAGCAGCUUGCUGCUUUGCUGACGAGUGGCGGACGGGUGAGUAAUGUCUGGGAAACUGCCCGAUGGAGGGGGAUAACUACUGGAAACGGUAGCUAAUACCGCAUAACGUCGCAAGACCAAAGAGGGGGACCUUAGGGCCUCUUGCCAUCGGAUGUGCCCAGAUGGGAUUAGCUAGUAGGUGGGGUAAC